ACGAACGCUGGCGGCAGGCUUAACACAUGCAAGUCGAACGGGCCCUUCGGGGUCAGUGGCAGACGGGUGAGUAACGCGUGGGAACGUGCCCUUCAGUUCGGAAUAACCCAGGGAAACUUGGGCUAAUACCGGAUACGUCCGAGAGGAGAAAGAUUUAUCGCUGAAGGAUCGGCCCGCGUCUGAUUAGCUAGUUGGUGAGGUAAUGGCUCACCAAGGCGACGAUCAGUAGCUGGUCUGAGAGGAUGAUCAGCCACAUUGGGACUGAGACACGGCCCAAACUCCUACGGGAGGCAGCAGUGGGGAAUAUUGGACAAUGGGCGCAAGCCUGAUCCAGCCAUGCCGCGUGAGUGAUGACGGCCUUAGGGUUGUAAAGCUCUUUCGGCGGGGACGAUAAUGACGGUACCCGCAGAAGAAGCCCCGGCUAACUUCGU
Molecule: ribosomal RNA, 431 nt
Filed under: uncultured bacterium
Lineage: Bacteria
Description: bacterial SSU rRNA
Rfam family: Bacterial small subunit ribosomal RNA
Source: RNAcentral